RNAcentral lists this ribosomal RNA (119 nucleotides) under Helianthus annuus (common sunflower). Lineage: Eukaryota; Viridiplantae; Streptophyta; Magnoliopsida; Asterales; Asteraceae. The record is from RNAcentral.
GGUUGCGAUCAUACCAACACUAAUGCACCGGAUCCCAUCAGAACUCCGCAGUUAAGCGUGCUUGGGCGAGAGUAGUACUAGGAUGGGUGACCCCCUGGGAAGUCCUCGUGUUGCAACCC